GGCUACUCGCAGGCUGCACCAUUUCGGAUCUGCUCUGUAAAUAUGGAGGUAACUUUCAAACCGUAAAUCCGAAUCGUGAUCUGCUUUUUUCUGUGUCUUCGUUUGACUGUUGUUGAUAUCCCCACCAAAAUUCAUAAUUUUGUGGGUUGAUUUGCUACUCCAUUUGUACUCUGCAUCAAAACUGAUGAGAAAGGCAGAAUUUUAGUUGCUUCAAGAGAAGAAGUUGUGAAGUAACAUCUUGAAGGCUAGCUUGCAGAUCUUAUUUUUAAGAAAAAGGGUAUCUUGUUAGUCAUGAAGAAUAGAGCUGCAACUAUGGGGGAGAAGACAAGAAAAAGGAGAUAUGAACUGAAUCAUCAAUGUAUGAUUUACAGGUUAGAGAAGUGAUGAGAAAACAGUUUCAAGAUGUCUGAUUGAAGGCAACUUUUAGUGGAUGAAACGUAUACUGAUUGAGCUGAAAUUUGGUGGCAAGCUUCGUGAUAAUUCUGUUUUGCAUUGCAACGGUGGGAUUGAGAUUUGGACGGUUCGCUUGUAGUUUAUUCAAGCCUCUUCAAUCUGAUCUAGGCACAGAUGAACUCAAGUUUCAGAUCUGACCACCUAUGAUGGAGACAUUAAACGGACGAUCAGCUGAACUCGGAAUGAGAUGCAAUUUGGUAGAGAUACACCAGACAUGCUGAAACUAGAUUCCAGUAUAAGGGUAAUGGAUUUAGAGUCCAGGAACAUAGUUGAACAAUGACUUUUCAGAACAGUUGUUUCAGAGUUUUAUGUUGAAGCAUGAUAGAGUCUAUGAAGAAUUUCAGAUAACAUGAAAGGGGAAGAGCAUAGAUGUUGAAGCAUGAUGGAGUCUAUGAAGAAUGCUGAAAAGAGUAAAAAGAUGAGACUUUGAAACAGAGAAAACGAAACUGAGACUAAGAGAAAAGCUGAGAAAUAAAAUUUAUAUCAAGGCAUGUUGUUUGAGAAAGUUGUCAUGGGAAGAAAAGUUCAGUCAAAGGGUUUCAAUGGAAUAUUGCAAGGAGAGAAUCAAGCUUGGCUCAUGGUGGAGUGGAGAUAAAGUGUGAGAAAAUGGAUCAUUGGAAAAGAGAAUCCUACGUAAGGAUUUGCUCUCUAUGAGAAGGUGAUUGGGAUUAAUAUAAGUUGUUUCCACUGCAGCCUCAAAGACUAGAAAGAAUAAGCUUGUUUAGCUAAGCAUGGAAGAAUGAAGGCGAUGAAGACCUGAACUGCAGAAUCAAAGGGGGGAACAUUAAUUUUUCAGCUCUGACAGAGACUGCAAAAAUCAAAUUCGUGAAGGAAUCUUUAUGGCAAUGUUUGGAGAUCUGAAAGCAAUCUGUUCGAGCUGAAACUUUAUAAUGUGAUUCGUGCUGCUACUGUCUGGAUAUAUAACCAUGGGAUUGAGCUGUUGACGUUUCGAUGGAGACUUUAAAAAGGGGAUCGAUCAAGUUCGAGAUAAGAUAAGAUUUUGCAUAAAUUUUGUAUACUUGGAGCUUGAUUUUGGUAGAAGUGCAAAGGAUUCAGAGGCAAGGAACGUAGUUAAAUAAAGGCUUUAUCAACCUUGAGAUUGAUUAUCAUUGUGUUAAAAAAAAAGGAGUCUCAAGAACGUCGGUAGAUCAGUUGGUGAGAGUUAGCUACAAGGAAAGCC
This 1633-nucleotide long non-coding RNA is filed under the name Capsella grandiflora. RNAcentral describes it as "long non-coding RNA (CGRA_LNC000526)". Lineage: Eukaryota; Viridiplantae; Streptophyta; Magnoliopsida; Brassicales; Brassicaceae. The record is from RNAcentral.